UACGAAGGGGGCUAGCGUUGUUCGGAAUUACUGGGCGUAAAGCGCACGUAGGCGGAUUUGUAAGUCAGGGGUGAAAUCCUGGAGCCUCAACUCCAGAACUGCCUUUGAUACUGAAGAUCUUGAGUUCGGGAGAGGUGAGUGGAACUGCGAGUGUAGAGGUGAAAUUCGUAGAUAUUCGCAAGAACACCAGUGGCGAAGGCGGCUCACUGGCCCGAUACUGACGCUGAGGCACGAAAGCGUGGGGAGGCCAAACAGGAUUAGCAA
This 264-nucleotide ribosomal RNA is filed under the name uncultured bacterium. RNAcentral describes it as "partial 16S ribosomal RNA". It matches the Rfam family "Bacterial small subunit ribosomal RNA", at positions 524 to 784 of the family's 1533-position model. The record is from RNAcentral.